This 2885-nucleotide ribosomal RNA is filed under the name Chitinophagales bacterium. RNAcentral describes it as "23S ribosomal RNA". It matches the Rfam family "Bacterial large subunit ribosomal RNA". Lineage: Bacteria; Pseudomonadati; Bacteroidota; Chitinophagia; Chitinophagales. The record is from RNAcentral.
ACGAAAGCAAUUAAGGGUAUACGGGGGAUGCCUUGGCUCUCAGAGGCGAUGAAGGACGUGACUACCUGCGAAAAGCUGUGGGGAGGUGGUAUUAACCUGUGAUCCGCAGAUGUCCGAAUGGGGCAACCCAGUCACUUGAAGAGUGACUACCGAGAGGAGCAAACCCGGAGAACUGAAACAUCUAAGUACCCGGAGGAGGAGAAAACAAGUCAGUGAUUCCGUAAGUAGUGGCGAGCGAAAGCGGAACAGCCUAAACUCCGAAAACCACGGUUUUCGGAGGGUUGUAGGACUGCAUUUAGAAACCAUCAUCAAGCAAAACCAUCUGGAAAGUUGGACCAAAGAGGGUGACAGUCCCGUAAGCGGAAAUUGAUGGGGACGAGCAGUAUCCUGAGUACCGCGGGGUCGGAGACGCCCUGUGGGAAUCCGGCGGCACCAUCCGCCAAGGCUAAAUACUCCUGAGAGACCGAUAGUGAACUAGUACCGUAAGGGAAAGGUGAAAAGCACCGCGAACAGCGGAGUGAAAUAGACCUGAAACCGUAUACUUACAAGCUGUGGGAGUCCCGACACUUGUGUCGGGAUGACCUCGUGCCUUUUGCAUAAUGAGCCUACGAGUUACUCCUCACUGGCAAGGUUAAAUGCUGCAAGCAGAUAGCCGUAGCGAAAGCAAGUCCGAACAGGGCGAAUAGUCAGUGGGGGUAGACGCGAAACCUUAGUGAUCUACCCAUGGUCAGGAUGAAGUCCCGGUAACACGGGAUGGAGGUCCGAACUGUUUGGCGUUGAAAAGCCAUCGGAUGAACUGUGGGUAGGGGUGAAAGGCUAAUCAAACUGGGAGAUAGCUCGUACUCCCCGAAAUGUCUUUAGGGACAGCCUCGGGUACAACGUGUCAUAGAGGUAGAGCUACCGAUUGGGCUAGGGGGUCUCAAAACCUACCAAACCCUGACGAACUCCGAAUGCUAUGACAUAAACCCGGGAGUGAGGCUUUGGGCGCUAAGGUCCAGGGCCAAAAGGGAAACAACCCAGACCAUCAGUUAAGGUCCCUAAAUCCAUGCUAAGUUGAUCAAACGAUGUUUCACUGCUAUGACAGCUAGGAUGUUGGCUUGGAAGCAGCCAUCCAUUUAAAGAGUGCGUAACAGCUCACUAGUCGAGUGGUGGGGCGCGGAAAAUAAUCGGGCAUCAAGCAUGGUACCGAAGCUAUGGGCCCGCAAGGGCGGUAGGGGAGCAUUCUUGUCUGCAUUGAAGGUGUGAUAUGAGUCAUGCUGGAGCGGCAAGAAAAGCAGAUGUAGGCAUAAGUAACGAUAAACACUGUGAAAAACAGUGUCGCCGUAAGUCUAAGGGUUCCUGAUCCACGUUAAUCGAAUCAGGGUUAGUCGGGUCCUAAGGUGUAGCCGAACGGCGAAGCCGAUGGAAAACUGGUUAAUAUUCCAGUACCGGCAUUGAUUGUGAUGGGGCGACGGAGAAGUGAAAGGUCUGCGUGCUGACGGAAUAGCACGUUGAAGCCCGUAGGUAUAGGCUGAACAGGUAAACCCGUUCGGCUUGCUGAAAGGUGACAGUACGGUGAGUCUUCGGACAAGCCGAUAAUGACCCUAAUCAUGCUCCCGAGAAAAACCUCUAAACUAUAGAUCAAUGCUGCCCGUACCGCAAACCGACACAGGUAGACGAGGAGAGUAUCCUAAGGCGCUCGAGUGAGCCGUGGUUAAGGAACUCGGCAAAUUAACCCUGUAACUUCGGGAUAAAGGGUGUCCCGCCUUUUGGCGGGAUCGCAGUGAAACGGGACAAGCGACUGUUUAACAAAAACUCAGGGCCCUGCUAAUUCGAAAGAAGAAGUAUAGAGCCUGAUACCUGCCCGGUGCCGGAAGGUUAAAGAAGGGGGUCAGCAGCAAUGCAAAGCUCUCGACUGAAGCCCCGGUAAACGGCGGCCGUAACUAUAACGGUCCUAAGGUAGCGAAAUUCCUUGUCGGGUAAGUUCCGACCUGCACGAAUGGUUUAACGACUUGUCCACUGUCUCGACCACGAGCUCGGUGAAAUUGUAAAUACCGGUGAAGAUGCCGGUUUCCCGUCACGGGACGGAAAGACCCCAUGAACCUUCACUAUACCUUAGUAUUGGGUCUGGUUAAACGAUGUGUAGCAUAGGUGGGAGACUUUGAAGCUGCGGCGCUAGCCGUGGUGGAGUCGCAAUGUGAAAUACCACCCUUUGCUUAAUUAGAUUCUAACCCCCUACCAAGGGGGAACAGUGCUAGGCGGGUAGUUUGACUGGGGUGGUCGCCUCCAAAAGAGUAACGGAGGCUUUCAAAGGUACCCUCAGCAUGCUUGGUAACCAUGCUUCGAGUGCAAUAGCAAAAGGGUGCUUGACUGCAACACUCACAAGUGGAGCAGGGCCGAAAGGCGGAUAUAGUGAUCCGGUGGUUCCGCAUGGAAGGGCCAUCGCUCAAAGGAUAAAAGGUACUCUGGGGAUAACAGGCUGAUCUCCCCCAAGAGCUCAUAUCGACGGGGAGGUUUGGCACCUCGAUGUCGGUUCGUCACAUCCUGGGGCUGGAGAAGGUCCCAAGGGUUCGGCUGUUCGCCGAUUAAAGUGGCACGUGAACUGGGUUCAGAACGUCGCAAGACAGUUCGGUCCCUAUCUGUGAUGGGCGCUGGAAAUUUGAGGGAAGAUGACCCUAGUACGAGAGGACCGGGUUGUACGAACCUCUGGUGUACCUGUUGUGUUGCCAAAUGCAGCGCAGGGUAGCUAUGUUCGGCCGUGAUAAGCGCUGAAAGCAUCUAAGCGCGAAACACUUCCCAAGAUGAGAUUUCCCAGGGCCGUAGAAGACGACUACGUUGAUAGGUGGCAGGUCUAAAGGUGGUAACAUCAAAGCCGAGCCAUACUAAUUGCCCGUUUGCUUUCUACU